Molecule: ribosomal RNA, 497 nt
Filed under: uncultured bacterium
Lineage: Bacteria
Description: partial 16S ribosomal RNA
Rfam family: Bacterial small subunit ribosomal RNA
Source: RNAcentral
GACGAACGCUGGCGGCGUGCCUAAUACAUGCAAGUUGAGCGAUGAAGAUUGGUGCUUGCACCAAUUUGAAGAGCAGCGAACGGGUGAGUAACGCGUGGGGAAUCUGCCUUUGAGCGGGGGACAACAUUUGGAAACGAAUGCUAAUACCGCAUAACAACUUUAAACAUAAGUUUUAAGUUUGAAAGAUGCAAUUGCGUCACUCAAAGAUGAUCCCGCGUUGUAUUAGCUAGUUGGUGAGGUAAAGGCUCACCAAGGCGAUGAUGCAUAGCCGACCUGAGAGGGUGAUCGGCCACCAUGGGACUGAGACACGGCCCAAACUCCUACGGGAGGCAGCAGGAGGGGAUCCUCGGCAAUGGACGAAAGUCUUACCGAGCAACGCCGGGGUAGGGAAGAAGGGUUUCGGAUCGGAAAAAUCUGUUGGUAGGGAAGAACGUUGGUGGGAGUGGAAAGCUCAUCAAGUGACGGUAACUACCCAGAAAGGGACGGCUAACUACGUG